RNAcentral lists this ribosomal RNA (356 nucleotides) under uncultured Pseudomonas sp. RNAcentral describes it as "bacterial SSU rRNA". It matches the Rfam family "Bacterial small subunit ribosomal RNA", at positions 1028 to 1382 of the family's 1533-position model. The record is from RNAcentral. Lineage: Bacteria; Pseudomonadati; Pseudomonadota; Gammaproteobacteria; Pseudomonadales; Pseudomonadaceae.
UCUGACACAGGUGCUGCAUGGCUGUCGUCAGGCUCGUGUCGUGAGAUGUUGGGUUAAGUCCCGUAACGAGCGCAACCCUUGUCCUUAGUUACCAGCACGUUAUGGUGGGCACUCUAAGGAGACUGCCGGUGACAAACCGGAGGAAGGUGGGGAUGACGUCAAGUCAUCAUGGCCCUUACGGCCUGGGCUACACACGUGCUACAAUGGUCGGUACAAAGGGUUGCCAAGCCGCGAGGUGGAGCUAAUCCCAUAAAACCGAUCGUAGUCCGGAUCGCAGUCUGCAACUCGACUGCGUGAAGUCGGAAUCGCUAGUAAUCGUGAAUCAGAAUGUCACGGUGAAUACGUUCCCGGGCCUU